RNAcentral lists this ribosomal RNA (250 nucleotides) under uncultured bacterium. RNAcentral describes it as "partial 16S ribosomal RNA". It matches the Rfam family "Bacterial small subunit ribosomal RNA", at positions 525 to 775 of the family's 1533-position model. The record is from RNAcentral.
ACGUAGGUGGCAAGCGUUGUCCGGAAUUAUUGGGCGUAAAGCGCGCGCAGGCGGAUCAGUCAGUCUGUCUUAAAAGUUCGGGGCUUAACCCCGUGAUGGGAUGGAAACUGCUGAUCUAGAGUAUCGGAGAGGAAAGUGGAAUUCCUAGUGUAGCGGUGAAAUGCGUAGAUAUUAGGAAGAACAUCAGUGGCGAAGGCGACUUUCUGGACGAAAACUGACGCUGAGGCGCGAAAGCCAGGGGAGCGAACGG